RNAcentral lists this ribosomal RNA (492 nucleotides) under uncultured bacterium. Its description in RNAcentral is "bacterial SSU rRNA". It matches the Rfam family "Bacterial small subunit ribosomal RNA", at positions 501 to 989 of the family's 1533-position model. The record is from RNAcentral.
CUACGUGCCAGCAGCCGCGGUAAUACGUAGGGCGCGAGCGUUGUCCGGAAUUAUUGGGCGUAAAGAGCUUGUAGGCGGUUUGUCGCGUCUGCUGUGAAAGGCCGGGGCUUAACUCCGUGUAUUGCAGUGGGUACGGGCAGACUAGAGUGCAGUAGGGGAGACUGGAAUUCCUGGUGUAGCGGUGGAAUGCGCAGAUAUCAGGAGGAACACCGAUGGCGAAGGCAGGUCUCUGGGCUGUAACUGACGCUGAGAAGCGAAAGCAUGGGGAGCGAACAGGAUUAGAUACCCUGGUAGUCCAUGCCGUAAACGUUGGGCACUAGGUGUGGGGGACAUUCCACGUUUUCCGCGCCGUAGCUAACGCAUUAAGUGCCCCGCCUGGGGAGUACGGCCGCAAGGCUAAAACUCAAAGAAAUUGACGGGGGCCCGCACAAGCGGCGGAGCAUGCGGAUUAAUUCGAUGCAACGCGAAGAACCUUACCAAGGCUUGACAUGC